AGAUUCUGGCCUAUAAGAAGCAAACAGCCAGGACGGUGGCCAUGGAAGUCGGAAUCCGCUAAGGAGUGUGUAACAACUCACCUGCCAAAUCAACUAGCCCUGAAAAUGGAUGGCG
This 115-nucleotide non-coding RNA is filed under the name Myotis lucifugus (little brown bat). Its description in RNAcentral is "Eukaryotic large subunit ribosomal RNA". It matches the Rfam family "Eukaryotic large subunit ribosomal RNA", at positions 1219 to 1327 of the family's 3401-position model. The record is from Rfam by way of RNAcentral. Lineage: Eukaryota; Metazoa; Chordata; Mammalia; Chiroptera; Vespertilionidae.